UUGAAAGGGAAACGAUUGAAGUCAGUCAUGCCAGUGGGAAUCAACUUAGGGGAAACUCUGGGUGCACUUCUUCGCUUGGCAGGUCAACGUCGAUUUUGAAUGUCAUAAAAUAAUUGGGGGAAGGUAGCUCCUUCGGGAGUGUUAUAGCCCUUGAUAGAUGUGAUGUUUGGGGUCGAGGAUUGCAACGGAUACCCUUCGGGGCUAGCCGCCUGAUCUCUAAUUGGUGUUGGGUUACGGAUAGCAUGCUGACCGUGAUCUAAUUACUGGUUAAAAGGUUAGAGUGUGCAUAAAUUCGUUAAGGAUGU
This 305-nucleotide ribosomal RNA is filed under the name uncultured Glomeromycotina. RNAcentral's name for it is "eukaryotic LSU rRNA". Lineage: Eukaryota; Fungi; Glomeromycota. The record is from RNAcentral.